CUGAACUGAAACAUCUAAGUAGGCGGAGGAGAAGAAAACAAAAGUGAUUCCGUGAGUAGUGGCGAGCGAAAGCGGAUUAGCCCAAACCGGAGAUGUUACGGCAUUUCCGGGGUUGUAGGACCGCGAUAUUUCCUGCGUAAAGAAUUAGAACCAUCUGGAAAGUUGGGCCAAAGACGGUGACAGCCCGGUACAAGUAAUGAGCGUAAGGGAUAGCGGUAUCCUGAGUAGGGCGGGGCACGUGAA
Molecule: ribosomal RNA, 243 nt
Filed under: Flavobacterium microcysteis
Lineage: Bacteria; Pseudomonadati; Bacteroidota; Flavobacteriia; Flavobacteriales; Flavobacteriaceae
Description: Flavobacterium sp. MaA-Y11 partial 23S ribosomal RNA
Rfam family: Bacterial large subunit ribosomal RNA
Source: RNAcentral